CGGGCGGGCGGGGUGGCGGCGUGCUCGAAAAUGUUAAAGUUCUUAUUUCAUGGUAUAACUUUGGUAUGCUUGGACCUAGAGUCUUCAAACUUGACAUGAAGGUUGGCCAGGAUAAACAGAUGACCACUGGUCAUUUCAAGGUCAUUCAUUUGAAGGUGAAGGUCACUGUGACCUUCAAUAUAAAAAUGUUAAAGUUGUUAUAACUUUGGUAUGCUUGGACCUAGAGUCUUGAAACUUGACAUGAAGGUUGGCCAGAACUAGUAAGUAACCACUGGACAUUUCAAGGUCAUUCAUUUGAAGGUCAAGGUCACUGUGACCUUGAAUGUAAAAAUGUUAAAGUUGUUAUAACUUUGGUAUGCUUGGACCUAGAGUCUUGAAACUUGACAUGAAGGUUGGCCAGAACUAGUAAGUAACCACUGGACAUUUCAAGGUCAUUCAUUUGAAGGUCAAGGUCACUGUGACCUUGAAUGUAAAAAUGUUAAAGUUCUUAUUUCAUGUUAUAACUUUGGUAUGCUUGUACCUAGAGUCUUCAAACUUGAAAUAAAGAUUGGCCAGUACUAGAAGAUGACCACUGGUCAUUUCAAUGUCAUUCAUUUGAAGGUCAAGGUCACUGUGACCUUAAAUGUUAAAAUGUUAAAAUUGUUAUAACUUUGGUAUGCUUGGACAUAGAGUCUUCAAACUUGACAUGAAGGUUUGCAAGCACACUUAGAUGACCACUGGUCAUUUCAAGGUCAUUCAUUCUAAGGUCAAGGUCACUGUGACCUUGAAUGUAAAAAUGUUAAAGUUCUUAUAACUUUGGUAGGUAAAAAUGUUAAAGUUCUUAUUCCAUGUUAUAACUUUGGUAUGCUUGUACCUAGAGUCUUCAAACUUGACAUAAAGGUUGGCCAGUACUAGAAGAUCACCACUGCUCAUUUCAAUGUCAUUCAUUUGAUUUCUGUGUAGGUAUGUGAAAGCAAAACAAUAAAUAGUAUUAUUUCAUCUAAGUUUAUUUUCUUACAUUUGAUAAUGAAAUUGAUGGAAACUUCAAACAAUAUCUUACUAAUUUGCUAAUAAAAAAAUUGAGAUCAAACUUU
Molecule: long non-coding RNA, 1073 nt
Organism: Dreissena polymorpha
Lineage: Eukaryota; Metazoa; Mollusca; Bivalvia; Myida; Dreissenidae
Exons: 2
Source: RefSeq, a predicted model, not a curated record